GUGGAUGCACCAAGUUGGGUUUUUGUAGUGAGCAUGCUGCAAAGAUAAUAUAAAAUUACCCUUACUUGUCACAGAGACCAGCCCAGCAGUGUGGUACAUCCAAGGACCACAUGCAGUAGACCUACCUGCUGCUGAGGACCCCAGCUGAAGGAUUUUAACUGACGUGUGGGCUGACUCUGCCACAGAAGCACAACCACAAUUGAUCACUAUAUUCUGAAUAAGACUUGGAGUUCAAGCAAUCAUAUGAAAAGGCACUCAAUAACCUUCUGUCUUCCUUGAUUCCAAAUACGGUAUACAUAAAGGUUAUCAUAUACUCCUCUUCAGCUAGCUAGGUUAUCUUGACAUGCUUCAAUUAUUUUGUAAUUGCCACUGUUUUUCAACAGCUGUGCCCUUGAAAUGCAUUUUCUCUUUUGACUAAUCAGAUAAUUUGAAGAUGCAGUGCCACUUCUGCAAUAAAGCCAAUAUUGUUAAGAGCCAUUGGUGUUUUAAAGGAUCCAUAUUUCAGGAGAAAAUUAUACCAUCAACUGUAAUUUAUGUGAAAUUGUGUUAAAGCAAGUGUGUCUCUAAAUUUCUACUCGAGAAAAAUUUAACUAAAAAUGUUGUCUUUUAUUUCUGUGACCAACUCAAAGUCUGAUUUUAAAAAGUGAUUCUACAGCGAGUCGCUCAUAUUGCAUUUUCACUUAAUCCUAAAAUAGCAGUCUGUUGCCAAACAAUAGAAAUAACAGAAUAACUGAAGCUUGUCAAGACCAUCUAGGAGGUUGAUUAAACCUAGAGAUGGUUCCCUGUGAAACUGACUAUGAACUAGAAUUUAUGAACCCAUUAUACUUUGCA
RNAcentral lists this long non-coding RNA (831 nucleotides) under Homo sapiens (human). RNAcentral describes it as "HSALNT0107767". Lineage: Eukaryota; Metazoa; Chordata; Mammalia; Primates; Hominidae. The record is from RNAcentral.